GACGAACGCUGGCGGCGUGCCUAAUACAUGCAAGUAGAACGCACAGUUUAUACCGUAGCUUGCUACACCAUAGACUGUGAGUUGCGAACGGGUGAGUAACGCGUAGGUAACCUGCCUGGUAGCGGGGGAUAACUAUUGGAAACGAUAGCUAAUACCGCAUAAUAUUAAUUAUUGCAUGAUAAUUAAUUGAAAGGUGCAAUUGCACCACUACCAGAUGGACCUGCGUUGUAUUAGCUAGUAGGUGAGGUAACGGCUCACCUAGGCGACGAUACAUAGCCGACCUGGGAGGGUGAUCGGCCACACUGGGACUGAGACACGGCCCAGACUCCUACGGGAGGCAGCAGUAGGGAAUCUUCGGCAAUGGACGAAAGUCUGAACGAGCAACGCCGCGGGAGUGAAGAAGGUUUUCGGAUCGUAAAGCUCUGUUGUAAGAGAAGAACGGGUGUGAGAGUGGAAAGUUCACACUGUGACGGUAUCUUAACAGAAAGGGACGGCUAACUACGUG
RNAcentral lists this ribosomal RNA (505 nucleotides) under uncultured bacterium. RNAcentral's name for it is "partial 16S ribosomal RNA". It matches the Rfam family "Bacterial small subunit ribosomal RNA", at positions 28 to 507 of the family's 1533-position model. The record is from RNAcentral.